Molecule: microRNA precursor, 90 nt
Filed under: Chlorocebus sabaeus (green monkey)
Lineage: Eukaryota; Metazoa; Chordata; Mammalia; Primates; Cercopithecidae
Description: miRNA (ENSCSAG00000027600.1)
Source: RNAcentral
AAGAAUUAUGUUGGUGCAAAAGUAACUGAGGUUUCUGCCAUUACUUUUAAUGGCAAACACUGCAAUUACUUUUACACCAAUCUAAUAUUU